Mus musculus (house mouse) is the source of this 4964-nucleotide RNA transcript. It is a transcript of the gene named RIKEN cDNA 1700016C19 gene, with no coding region annotated. The record is from RefSeq and is a predicted model, not a curated record. The transcript is spliced from 4 exons. NCBI's taxonomy places the organism in Eukaryota, Metazoa, Chordata, Mammalia, Rodentia, Muridae.
CAGCAAUUGCCUUUCAAUUCCUGAAGGCUCGACAAUUGGCCUGAGGGGAGGUCUUGGCAGUGGGCAGAUUGCUGCAGGAACCUCACCAGCAGCAGUUCUUGGGUGAGCUGCUCUCAAAGGCAGGCAGCAUAGUGAAGAUUUUUUUUUUUUACAACACACACAGGGGAACGCCACGGUCUGGUAGACUCUUCUAUAUGUUGAGCCUCCAGCUGUUCUUGCACCAGUUGUUCAAGUGCCUGCGACAUUUCUUUUGUUAUGGGCCACCGCUCUUGCCAGAGAGGCUAGUUUGAUAAUCAUUUUUAGGGGCAAGGCUGUUGGAAUGUCAGCAGUGGCCCCUUUCAUAAAUUUGGAAAUGCAAUCCCUGUGACAUCCUGGUUUUUCUUGACUCAGCUUGCGAGUGUUCUCUCUCACCUGCCUCAAUACCUUCCCAGGGAGCAUCUACCAUAUCAACUUUAAUUUCCUUAUUUGCUGUCCUCCCCCCCCCCAAAUUGCAGGAAUAUUAAUUUGAUGAAUACUCCCAAUUGUUGUAAAAGAUCCCUUCCCCAUAAAUUUGUGGGUAUGUCAGCCACAGAAGGUCUCAACUUCCCCAUUUAUCCUUCUGGUCCCACACAGGGUAGUCCAUUGGAUGCUUUGUCUUAUUUGUGAUAAUUUACCAAUUCCUAUACAUUGUGUGUCAACCUCCUGAAGUGUCCAAUCUGGAUUCUAAGUGUACUAACAUCAGCUCCUGUAUCCACUAAACCUUCUAUGUCCACAUCAUUCAUUUGUGCCAUUAUUAAUUUGGGUCUCUGUUUGCCAUGUUUCUAGUUUCCCGGUGCUCCCAAAAGCCCCUGUUCUUUCUACUGGAGCGGCCUUGUCCUGAUGUAAGGGGACACCAGUUGGGCAAUUCCUGUCCCCUGCAUUGAGUUGCAGCUCCUUUGUCACAUGUAUAAAUAAUUUUUAUGUCUUGCUAGCCCCAUCUACUAUACCUGGAUGCACAAUACAUCCUUGAGAAGUUAAUUCACUUCUUCCCAAGAUUAUCCCCACUGUCCCUGAAGGUAAGAGAGCAUACACACCAGAGGUUUAACUUGUAAUGUUCCACUUUGGGGAGUAAUGUAAGAGUGCUAUCUGUGGCCAGACCCAAAACUGCACUUCCUUCUGUAACAUGCAUAGGAUCAGAAAUAACCCAAUUUUGAGUUUCUUGCAUUCCUGAUACCUCCUGACUGACCUCAGGGGCUGCGAGACCCUCGAUUCUCCCCUCUACCCCACCAUGGCAAGACGUUACUACGUAUGUCUCUCUUUGACUGGCAAUCCGUUGACCAACGUUUGCCAUUUCCACAGCGGCUGCCAUACCCUGGACUCUGUGGCUCAAAGUGGCCAGAGUCGGCUUGUUCUCUUCUUGGAUCACCGUGUUCUCUUCUAGAGUCAAUGCACCUGUUAUUUUGAGCUUUGAAUCUUUUAGCCUUACAAUUUCUUUGGAAAUGACCAACAAUUCACCACAUUUAAAACACUGAGCAUUUUGAUUUUUGAUAUUUCUAGCUACGGUUUGCCCUAUGAUCUUUGCAUUAUGCUCCUGAGACCGGAUGCUGCUUGUCUCCCUUGUCCACUCAUCUACAGGGAGCUCCAUGUGCUUCCCAUGGUCUGAUUGCUCUCUUAUAUUCGGUGUUGGCAUUCUCCAACACCACUAUUUCUAUCAAUGACUUGUAAGGUUUCAGGGUCUGUUAUGGCUCUAUUCACAGCUGAACUCAACCUCUGUACGGAUUCUGUAAAGGCUCUUCCAGAAUCCCAUAUUUUAGUAAAGGAAGUAGAUUCCCCCCCCCCAUUGCCCGCCCCCCAAGUUACCCAAUCAAAUCCUAAACUCUUAAAGUGGUGAAAUGGCACUGUUGAAUUACACCAUCAUCAAAUCUGAUUUGUUCUUGUAAGUUGGCAUAACGCCCCUCCCCAGGCAGCCUGUCUUUAGUAACAUUGAUUCCCCUUGCUAGAUUACAUUGUACUAGCUUUGUUGCUUUGUGCCUCCACCAUGACAACCAUUGUGACUGCCUAGCAACUUCUAGAACAGCUGACACAGGUCCCUUCCAAGCUUGGGAGGAUCACCCUAUGCUGCGCAGCCCAGCUAUUUUAGCAUUUCUCUGACAAAGGAGGGAUGUAAGCCAUACAAUACCACAGCCUCUUUAAAAAUACUUUAAAUCUAACAUUCCUAUCGGUAGUCAGGUAAAGUCCUAAUAAGCCUGUCCACCAUUGUUAUCAGGCAUAUGCUGCACAAAGACCGGGGAAGCCUGAAGGUGCCUGUGUAGGUCCAGGCGAAUUCUUUUGUGGUGCGCUCUGCUGCACAUUAACCCAUGCCAUUUCCUGCUCUUCCAGGUCCCUAGAAGCAGGGCAGGGCAGGGUGGGGCGGGGGCAGUUUAUCUUCCAGUCUAGUUUGCUUCCCACUCUCAUCAUGCAGUGAAAUCCUGCUCUCAUCCAUCAAGCCUGAACUUUUUUCUCCUCCCAGUGACCCCUUUUGUUUUCCAAGCAUUGGAAAACUGUCCGAAGAAAACUCUAAAUGCAUACUCAACUCUACAAUCUUCUCUAACGAAAGAGGACUGUCGGGUUUCCCAUUAUUAUUAUUUUUUUCUUCAAAACAGUAUACAGGAAAAGUACAAUGCAAACCCAAAAUACCCCUUCUGGGAACGAGGCAGGAUACAACCCAGUGACAGUAGCUGCCAUUUUGCCAAUCUCCUUAAGUGUCCACCAGGACCUGCAGAUAGAUGGGCGGGAACCAUGCUGAGCCCUCCCACCUUCCUCCUGUACACUUCUGGUGGAGGUUUGGCCCAGAGCCAGCACACCUCUUUCUCUCUGCUCCUUGGUCUCAUAGUGUAUGUCCUGUGCACCACUCAAGCCUGCACGGGGCGUUGAGGGGGUGGGGGUGGGGAGGCACAGACCACCUGCACCUACCAUAGCCUUCUGCCUCCUACAGGGUCCUCAUUGUGUGCCUGGUGCACCUGCCUACCUCGGCCGCUUCUGGAGUGCACCCUCUCAGAGGUGCAGGGCAAACAGCCCAAUCUCUGAUUCACCCAGGGAGGGUUGGCCAGUCUCAGAGUCCAGCAGGAUGAAGAAAUAAUGUUUCUGGUGAAGGUUACCACCUCUGCCAGUCCCUGCGCCACACCACCAUCCACUAUUGAGUGCAUAGACCCUGGACCCUUUGACUCCAGAGGAUUUGCAACAACACACAGCCCAGAGCUCAGAGGCUGACCCUGGUGAUUUGAGUCGCGCCUUUCCAGCUGCGCGCAUGCGCGGUGCCUUUUCCCGGUAAUGUUUCAUAUGCUCUUGAUGUAGAUUCUCCUGUUGCUCACUGCAGGGCUGUGUGGGAUGCUGACGCUGGCGGGUGGCGACUGGGGAGGCUCUGCCUGUCUCUGAGGUUCUCCUGCCUUUCUGUCUUCUGCAUUUAUCAGUAAGAAGGGAGGGCUGAGUCUCCAACUGCAGUAGAGAAUUUGCCCGCUUCUGCAAAUCUACCUGGUUUCGCCUCCUCCGAUAUGAGACCCUCUCGUCAGGGAGCCCAGCUGCGUGGAUGCCGGGGACGCUAUGGCUUUGAGGACUGGCCCACCGAGCCAAAGGUGGAACCUGUUUGUCCACAAAUCCUUUUCCUCACCGUGAUGGCUGCUUUGCUUGAUGGAUCUGCAGCUGCUUGGCUUACUUUUUGAUUUGUCAGAGAGAGGCGAGUUCUUUUACUCGAGGGGGGAGGAACCGCUCGCACUAGGGAGGUGAGGCUGGUGUGGGUCCUAUGAUGCAGGCCUUACUAGGUGCAGUUUGAGCUGAGAGAGUUAGGGUGGGAGCAUGAGUAUGCAGAUGGGCUGGAAGGGGGUGUGGGGGAACGAGAGGGCAGGGCAGCCAUGCUUGCUUCCAGACAUGGGAUGCAGCAGCUUUACAAGGCCCCAGAAUGGGGCGUCCCUCUCCCUCCAAGCUCCUCUGCUAUGCUUAUGAUGGCAUUGGAGAGGGAGCCCAAGAGCCUGGGCAGGGAGAGGGGAGAGCAUGGGGCAGUGGGUCCUGGCAUGUCUGGGUCUAGGGUGGUGACUCUCAGACCCAGUCUCAGGAGGUACAGUGGGACAGAAUCUCUUCAUCCAUGUGUGCGCAUAGGAAUCUCCCAUUCUCCUCCCCAGACUUUUCCCCCAUGUGUGAUGCAUACGACGGUGUCUGCUGGUGUCCGACACCAGAGAAACCAACAACAGGGUGUCCUGCCUCUCUUCCUAAAGGGCACUGGGGAAGAGAGUCGAGGCACCUCCCUUCUCUGAUGUGGCGGGAAACCUUGGGUCGAGUUUUUUACUCUGGAUGGUGGUACAGUGGGGGCCAGGGCUCACAGCCGAGGUCUGGAACUCUGGUUGGAGCUGUCUUCAGAGCUCUAUUAUGGAGCCCCAGCCCUGGGCAGGAAAGCUCAUUAGCAGACGUGAUAGAUGUGAGCACAUGACUGCCGAGUCGUGUCCCGUGUCCCUGUUGAACUGGAACUCCUGCUCCUUCUCCAUUAGCAGCGGUGUCUGCAUGCUCAGCCAUCCCUCUGGACCCUUCUGAAUUCUCCCAGGGCUCUGAAUGCAGUCUUUUUUAUGCAAGGGUCUUGGACACGUCCGGGUGUGUGCGGCGCAAGCCUACAAACUCUCUCACCUCUACCAGAGAUAAUAAGGUCUUUUAUACCCUAGAGCCUGGGCAGGCCAUAAGGACAAAGGGUGCCCGGGACACAAGCAGGUAGUUUGGAAGUUUGGUGUAAAUUUAGAAGCAACUUCUACCUUCUCUUUCACCUGCGUGCCAUUGGGCUUGGCCAUGCGUGGCCCACGGUUGGCACAAAUAUUUGGAAUCUGUGAGUAAAGAAGCUGGAAGUGGGCUCAGAAAAUGCUGCCCAGGCCCAUGUAACAGAUGCCGGAGGAAACACAUGUGAGCUCACACACACAGGUUGCUGGAGUGAGAGGCUGAAGAGGGUAGGGGUGGGAUAAGGGACUGGAGUGCUCAAAGGCUGCAGAUCU